AUUGAACGCUGGCGGCAUGCUUUACACAUGCAAGUCGAACGGGCUUAGGGGCUUGCUCCUAAGUUAGUGGCGAACGGUGAGUAAUACAUCGGAACGUACCGUGUAGUGGGGGAUAACGUAGCGAAAGUUACGCUAAUACCGCAUACGAUCUACGGAUGAAAGUGGGGGACCUUCGGGCCUCACGCUAUACGAGCGGCCGAUGUCUGAUUAGCUAGUUGGUGAGGUAAAGGCUCACCAAGGCAACGAUCAGUAGCGGGUCUGAGAGGAUGAUCCGCCACACUGGGACUGAGACACGGCCCAGACUCCUACGGGAGGCAGCAGUGGGGAAUUUUGGACAAUGGGCGAAAGCCUGAUCCAGCCAUGCCGCGUGUCUGAAGAAGGCC
RNAcentral lists this ribosomal RNA (383 nucleotides) under uncultured bacterium. RNAcentral describes it as "bacterial SSU rRNA". It matches the Rfam family "Bacterial small subunit ribosomal RNA", at positions 30 to 416 of the family's 1533-position model. The record is from RNAcentral.